Molecule: ribosomal RNA, 551 nt
Filed under: uncultured archaeon
Lineage: Archaea
Description: bacterial SSU rRNA
Rfam family: Archaeal small subunit ribosomal RNA
Source: RNAcentral
CGGGGUGCACCAGGCGCGAAAACUCCACAAUGUACGGAAGUACGAUGGGGUUAUCUCGAGUGCAGUCCAAUAAGGGCUGCUUUUCCAUAGAGUAAUAUCCUGUGGGAAUAAGAGGGGGGCAAGACUGGUGUCAGCCGCCGCGGUAACACCAGCCCCUCGAGUGGUGGGGACUAUUAUUUGGCCUAAAGCGUCCGUAGCUGGCUGUAUCCGUCCCCCGUUAAAUCCAGCGUCCUAAGCGUUGGACCGCGGGUGAUACCAUACAGCUAGAGGGUGGGAUAGGUGAGCGGUAUUUCUGGGGUAGGGGCGAAAUCCUUUGAUCCCAGGAGGACCACCAGUGGCGAAGGCUGCUCACUAGAACACGCCUGACGGUCAGGGACGAAAGCUGGGGCAGCGAACCGGAUUAGAUACCCGGGUAGUCCCAGCUGUAAACGAUGCUAGCUAGGUGUUGGGUCGGCCACGCGCCGCCCCAGUGCCGCAGGGAAGCCGUUAAGCUAGCCGCCUGGGGAGUACGGCCGCAAGGCUGAAACUUAAAGGAAUUGGCGGGGGAGCAC